RNAcentral lists this ribosomal RNA (1474 nucleotides) under uncultured Iamia sp. RNAcentral's name for it is "bacterial SSU rRNA". It matches the Rfam family "Bacterial small subunit ribosomal RNA". Lineage: Bacteria; Bacillati; Actinomycetota; Acidimicrobiia; Acidimicrobiales; Iamiaceae. The record is from RNAcentral.
GAACGCUGGCGGCGUGCCUAACAUGCAAGUCGAACGAGGUCCACCCGGUGGCAACACCGGCGACGACCUAGUGGCGAACGGGUGAGUAACACGUGAGGAACCUGCCCCGAAGACCGGGAUAACCCUCCGAAAGGAGAGCUAAUACCGGAUGUCCCCUGGAGGUCGCAUGGCCACCAGAGGAAAUGCUUUUGUGCUUCGGGAGGGCCUCGCGGCUUGUUGGUGGGGUAACGGCCCACCAAGGCAUCGACGGGUAGCUGGUCUGAGAGGACGAUCUAUCAGCCAGCCACACUGGGACUGAGACACGGCCCAGACUCCUACGGGAGGCAGCAGUUAGGAAUCUUGCGCAAUGGGCGAAAGCCUGACGCAGCAACGCCGCGUGGGGGAUGAAGGCCCUCGGGUCGUAAACCCCUUUCAGUGGGGACGAAACUGACGGUACCCACCCAAAGCCGCGGUAACACGAGAAUCCCGGUAGAAGGGGCUACGUGCCAGCGACAAGCGUUGUCCGGAUUUAUUGGGCGUAAGGCGGUUCGGCAAGUCGGGUGUGAAACCUAGGGCUCGUACCAGGCUCAACCUGGAGUCGCCACCCGAAACUGCUGUGACUUGAGUCCGGUAGGGGAGCACGGAAUUCCUGGUGUAGCGGUGGAAUGCGCAGAUAUCAGGAGGAACACCAGUGGCGAAGGCGGUGCUCUGGGCCGGUACUGACGCUGAGGAGCGAAAGCAUGGGGAGCGAACAGGAUUAGAUACCCUGGUAGUCCAUGCCGUAAACGUUGGGCACACCCUCUCAACGGGUUCCGCGCCGUAGCUUAGGUGUGGGAUUAAGUGCCCCGCCUGGGGAAACGCGUACGGCCGCAAGGCUAAAACUGCCCGCACAAGCAGCGGAGCAUGUUGCUUAACAAAGGCGGGGAAUUGAUUCGAGGCAACGCGAAGAACCUUACCUGGGUUUGACAUGUACGGAAAAGCCGCAGAGAUGCGGUGUCCUUUUGGGCCGUACACAGGUGGUGCAUGGUUGUCGUCAGCUCGUGUCGUGAGAUGUUGGGUUAAGUCCCGCAACGAGCGCAACCCUUGUCCUAUGUUGCCAUGCCGGGGACUCGUAGGAGACUGCCGGGGACAACGCGGGUAGUCGGAGGAAGGUGGGGAUGACGUCAAAUCAUCAUGCCCCUUAUGUCCAGGGCUGCAAACAUGCUACAAUGGCCGGUACAAAGGGCUGCUACACCGCGAGGUUGAGCGAAUCCCACAAAGCCGGUCUCAGUUCGGAUCGGAGUCUGCAACUCGACUCCGUGAAGCUGGAGUUGCUAGUAAUCCCGGAUCAGCAACGCCGGGGUGAAUACGUUCCCGGGCCUUGUACACACCGCCCGUCACACCACGAAAGUCGGCAACGCCCGAAGCCAGUGGCCCAACCCGCAAGGGAGGGAGCUGUCGAAGGUGCGAUUGGGGUGAAGUCGUAACAAGGUAGCCGUACCGGAGGGGUUGAGGU